RNAcentral lists this ribosomal RNA (466 nucleotides) under uncultured bacterium. RNAcentral describes it as "partial 16S ribosomal RNA". It matches the Rfam family "Bacterial small subunit ribosomal RNA", at positions 29 to 523 of the family's 1533-position model. The record is from RNAcentral.
AGUGAACGCUGGCGGCGUGCUUAACACAUGCAAGUCGAACGAGUAAGUGCUGUAGUAAUACAGAUUACUGCUAGUGGCAGACGGGUGAGUAAUACAUGGGAAUCUGCCUUAAAGCCUGGGAUAACUGUUGGAAACGACAGCUAAUACCGGAUAACACCGAGAGGUCAAAGAUUUAUCGCUUUAAGAUGAGCCCAUGCAAGAUUAGCUAGUUGGUAGGGUAAAGGCCUACCAAGGCGAAGAUCUUUAGCUGGUUUGAGAGGAUGAUCAGCCACACUGGAACUGAGACACGGUCCAGACUCCUACGGGAGGCAGCAGUGGGGAAUAUUGGACAAUGGGCGAAAGCCUGAUCCAGCAACGCCGCGUGAGUGAUGAAGGCCUUCGGGUUGUAAAGCUCUUUCAGUAGGGAAGAUAAUGACGGUACCUACAGAAGAAGCUCCGGCUAACUUCGUGCCAGCAGCCGCAGUAA